AGUGAACGCUGGCGGUAGGCCUAACACAUGCAAGUCGAACGGCAGCACAGUAAGAGCUUGCUCUUACGGGUGGCGAGUGGCGGACGGGUGAGGAAUACAUCGGAAUCUACUUUUUCGUGGGGGAUAACGUAGGGAAACUUACGCUAAUACCGCAUACGACCUACGGGUGAAAGCAGGGGAUCUUCGGACCUUGCGCGAUUGAAUGAGCCGAUGUCGGAUUAGCUAGUUGGCGGGGUAAAGGCCCACCAAGGCGACGAUCCGUAGCUGGUCUGAGAGGAUGAGCAGCCACACUGGAACUGAGACACGGUCCAGACUCCUACGGGAGGCAGCAGUGGGGAAUAGUGGACAAUGGGCGCAAGCCUGAUCCAGCCAUACCGCGUGGGUGAAGAAGGCCUUCGGGUUGUAAAGCCAUUUUGUUGGGAAAGAAAAGCAGCAGGUUAAUACCCCGCUGUUCUGACGGUACCCAAAGAAGAAGCACCGGCUAACUGCGU
RNAcentral lists this ribosomal RNA (491 nucleotides) under uncultured bacterium. RNAcentral's name for it is "partial 16S ribosomal RNA". It matches the Rfam family "Bacterial small subunit ribosomal RNA", at positions 29 to 506 of the family's 1533-position model. The record is from RNAcentral.